RNAcentral lists this ribosomal RNA (452 nucleotides) under uncultured bacterium. Its description in RNAcentral is "bacterial SSU rRNA". It matches the Rfam family "Bacterial small subunit ribosomal RNA", at positions 29 to 524 of the family's 1533-position model. The record is from RNAcentral.
AACGAACGCUGGCGGCAUGCCUAACACAUGCAAGUCGAACGAACUCUUCGGAGUUAGUGGCGCACGGGUGCGUAACGCGUGGGAAUCUGCCCUUGGGUACGGAAUAACUCAGAGAAAUUUGUGCUAAUACCGUAUAAUGACUUCGGUCCAAAGAUUUAUCGCCCAAGGAUGAGCCCCGCGUAAGAUUAGCUAGUUGGUGGGGUAAAAAGCCUACCAAGGCGACGAUCUUUAGCUGGUCUGAGAGGAUGAUCAGCCACACUGGGACUGAGACACGGCCCAGACUCCUACGGGAGGCAGCAGUGGGGAAUAUUGGACAAUGGGCGAAAGCCUGAUCCAGCAAUGCCGCGUGAGUGAUGAAGGCCUUAGGGUUGUAAAGCUCUUUUACCCGGGAUGAUAAUGACAGUACCGGGAGAAUAAGCUCCGGCUAACUCCGUGCCAGCAGCCGCGGUAAU